CCGGUUUGCACCUUAGAAAAUCUAAUAACAUUUUGCUGUUGGGUAGUACAAAAGCACAUUGAUGCAACGUUGUCCUGGUAAUAGAGGUGGCAAGGUUACCCUAAUACAAUUGAAAAAAUUCGACCCACUUAAAUUUCAGAAUGUUGACAUUUGGCAGUAGACUUGAUCCAUUUUGGGCUGCAAAAGCUAGCCAAGAAGCUCUGGGCACAGAUGAUCCACAUGCUGGCUGCUCAAAGGAAAGCCUCUACUCGUCCCAUACUAAUGAUAUUAGAAAUCAGGAAAAAUAAAUACAUUUGCUUUCCACAAAUCAUUUGAUCCUAGCUUAUAGCUUUCCUGGUCAAGGCAUUGUGAUUUGAAAGAGCCUUCCAAGGUAUGGAUGCAUAAACAAGGUAUGUAAAG
This is a non-coding RNA of Pelobates cultripes (western spadefoot toad), 399 nucleotides long. The record is from the annotation of a GenBank genome assembly. NCBI's taxonomy places the organism in Eukaryota, Metazoa, Chordata, Amphibia, Anura, Pelobatidae.